This 257-nucleotide ribosomal RNA is filed under the name uncultured bacterium. RNAcentral's name for it is "partial 16S ribosomal RNA". It matches the Rfam family "Bacterial small subunit ribosomal RNA", at positions 524 to 776 of the family's 1533-position model. The record is from RNAcentral.
UACGAAGGGGGGCUAGCGUUGUUCGGAAUUACUGGGCGUAAAGGGCGCGUAGGCGGUGUGUCAAGUCAGGCGUGAAAGCCCCGGGCUCAACCUGGGAACCGCGCUUGAGACUGGCACGCUAGAGUUCGGGAGAGGAUGGUGGAAUUCCCAGUGUAGAGGUGAAAAUUCGUAGAUAUUGGGAAGAACACCGAUGGCGAAGGCAGCCAUCUGGACCGACACUGACGCUGAGGCGCGAAAAGCGUGGGGGAGCAAACAGG